Molecule: ribosomal RNA, 500 nt
Filed under: uncultured bacterium
Lineage: Bacteria
Description: partial 16S ribosomal RNA
Rfam family: Bacterial small subunit ribosomal RNA
Source: RNAcentral
AUUGAACGCUGGCGGCAUGCUUUACACAUGCAAGUCGAACGGUAACAGGGUGCUUGCACCGCUGACGAGUGGCGAACGGGUGAGUAAUGCGUCGGAACGUGCCGAGUAGUGGGGGAUAACGCAGCGAAAGUUGUGCUAAUACCGCAUACGUACUGAGGUAGAAACUGGGGGACCUUCGGGCCUUACGCUAUUCGAGCGGCCGACGUCUGAUUAGCUAGUAGGUGAGGUAAAGGCUCACCUAGGCGACGAUCAGUAGCGGGUCUGAGAGGAUGAUCCGCCCCACUGGGACUGAGACACGGCCCAGACUCCUACGGGAGGCAGCAGUGGGGAAUUUUGGACAAUGAGCGAAAGCCUGAUCCAGCCAUGCCGCGUGUCUGAAGAAGGCCUUCGGGUUGUAAAGGACUUUUGUCAGGGAGGAAAUCCCUAGUGCUAAUAACACUGGGGGAUGACAGUACCUGAAGAAUAAGCACCGGCUAACUACGUGCCAGCAGCCGCCGCCG